AAUUUUGGACAAUGGGGGCAACCCUGAUCCAGCCAUCCCGCGUGUAUGAUGAAGGCCUUCGGGUUGUAAAGUACGUCUGGCAGAGCAGAAAAGUUAUCUCCUAAUACGAGAUACUGCUGACGGUACGUGCAGCAUAAGCACCGGCUAACUACGUGCCAGCCUCCUCGGUAAUACGUAGGGUGUAAGCGUUAAUCGGAAUUAUUGGGCGUAAAGCGUGUGUAGGCGGUUCGGAAAGAAAGAUGUGAAAUCCCAGGGCUCAACCUUGGAACUGCAUUUUUAACUGCCGAGCUAGAGUAUGUCAGAGGGGGGUAGAAUUCCACGUGUAGCAGUGAAAUGCGUAGAUAUGUGGAGGAAUACCGAUGGCGAAGGCAGCCCCCUGGGAUAAUACUGACGCUCAGACACGAAAGCGUGGGGAGCAAACA
This 422-nucleotide ribosomal RNA is filed under the name uncultured bacterium. Its description in RNAcentral is "partial 16S ribosomal RNA". It matches the Rfam family "Bacterial small subunit ribosomal RNA", at positions 360 to 774 of the family's 1533-position model. The record is from RNAcentral.